AUUCCCCUAGUAACUGCGAGUGAAGCGGGAAAAGCUCAAAUUUAAAAUCUGGUGGCCUUUGGCCAUCCGAGUUGUAAUCUAGAGAAGCGUCUUCCGCGCCGGACCGUGCACAAGUCUCCUGGAAUGGAGCGUCAUAGAGGGUGAGAAUCCCGUCUUUGGCACGGACGCACCGGGGCUAUGUGAUGCGCUCUCGAAGAGUCGAGUUGUUUGGGAAUGCAGCUCAAAAUGGGUGGUGAACUCCAUCUAAAGCUAAAUAUUGGCGAGAGACCGAUAGCGAACAAGUACCGUGAGGGAAAGAUGAAAAGCACUUUGGAAAGAGAGUGAAACAGUACGUGAAAUUGUUGAAAGGGAAACGCUUGAAGUCAGUCGCGUCGACCGAGACUCAGCCUUGCCACGGCUUGGUGUAUUUCUCGGCCGACGGGUCAGCGUCGAUUUUGCCCCUCGGAUAAUGGCAAGGGAAAGGUGGCACCUUUACGGGUGUGUUAUAGUCUCCUGUCGCAUGCGAGGGUCGGGAUCGAGGAACGCAGCACGCGCCCUUGGGUGCCGGGGCCUUUUGGCUCACGCGACGUGCUUAGGAUGCUGGCGUAAUGGCUUUAAACGACCCGUCUUGAAACACGGACCAAGGAGUCCAACAUGCCCGCGAGUGUUCGGGUGGAAAACCCGUGCGCGAAAUGAAAGUGAAAGUUGGGACCUCUGUCGUGGAGGGCACCGACGCCCGGACCAGACCUUCUGUGACGGAUCUGCGGUAGAGCGUGCAUGUUGGGACCCGAAAGAUGGUGAACUAUGCCUGAAUAGGGUGAAGCCAGAGGAAACUCUGGUGGAGGCUCGUAGCGAUUCUGACGUGCAAAUCGAUCGUCAAAUUUGGGUAUAGGGGCGAAAGAC
Molecule: ribosomal RNA, 882 nt
Filed under: Russula sesenagula
Lineage: Eukaryota; Fungi; Basidiomycota; Agaricomycetes; Russulales; Russulaceae
Description: eukaryotic LSU rRNA
Rfam family: Eukaryotic large subunit ribosomal RNA
Source: RNAcentral